UCAAGUGACUAAGUGCAUGUGGCGGAUGCCUUGGCGAUCACAGGCGAAGAAAGACGCGGCAGCCUGCGAAAAGCUGCGGGGAGCUGGCAAACGAGCUUUGAUCCGCAGAUAUCUGAAUGGGGGAACCCACACCGCAAGGUGUAUCCGUAGCUCAAUACAUAGGUUACGGAGGCGAACGAGGAGAACUGAAACAUCUAAGUAUCCUCAGGAAAAGAAAUCAACCGAGAUUCCGGCAGUAGCGGCGAGCGAACCCGGAGGAGCCCAGCUUUUGAUAGUACGAACUUUAGCCGAAAGGUCCUGGAAAGGCCUGCUAUAGUGGGUGAUAGCCCCGUAGGCGAAAGAGUUGGUACGGUACUAAGGAAGCGAGAAGUAGAGCGGGACACGUGGAAUCCUGUUCGAAGACGGGGGGACCAUCCUCCAAGGCUAAAUACUCGUGAUCGACCGAUAGUGAACCAGUACCGUGAGGGAAAGGUGAAAAGAACCCCGGGAGGGGAGUGAAAUAGAACCUGAAACCGCAUGCAUACAAACAGUAGGAGCCUCAUCAGAGGUGACUGCGUACCUUUUGCAUAAUGGGUCAGCGACUUACAUUCUGUGGCGAGCUUAACCGAAUAGGGGAGGCGCAGCGAAAGCGAGUUCGAAAUGAGCGUCCAGUCGCAGGGUGUAGACCCGAAACCAGAUGAGCUAUCCAUGGCCAGGUUGAAGGUGUGGUAACACACACUGGAGGACCGAACCGACUAGUGUUGCAAAAUUAGCGGAUGAGCUGUGGAUAGGGGUGAAAGGCCAAACAAAUCUGGAGAUAGCUGGUUCUCCCCGAAAACUAUUGAGGUAGUGCCUCGUGUGUCGCUCCAGGGGGUAGAGCACUGUUUUGGCUAGGGGGACAUGGAGUCUUACCAAACCAAGGCAAACUCCGAAUACCUGGAAGCGUGAGCACGGGAGACAGAGCACCGGGUGCUAACGUCCGGACUCAAAAGGGAAACAACCCAGACCGCCGGCUAAGGUCCCAAAUAACAGCUAAGUGGAAAACGAAGUGGAAAGGCCGUGACAACCAGGAAGUUGGCUUAGAAGCAGCCAUCCUUCAAAGAAAGCGUAAUAGCUCACUGGUCGAGUCCUUCUGCGCGGAAGAUGUAACGGGGCUAAGCUGUUAACCGAAGCCGCGGAUGCACUGGUAAUCCAGUGCGUGGUAGGGGAGCGUUCUGUAAGUCUGCGAAGGCGGUUCGAGAGGACUGCUGGAGAUAUCAGAAGUGCGAAUGCUGACAUGAGUAACGUUAAAGCAGGUGAAAAGCCUGCUCGCCGUAAGCCCAAGGAUUCCUGCUCUACGUUCAUCGGAGCAGGGUGAGUCGGCUCCUAAGGUCAGGCCGAAAGGCGUAGCCGAUGGGAAUCAGGUUAAUAUUCCUGAACCUGCGUCAGAUGCGAUGGGGGGACGGAGCAUGAAAGAUCAUCCGGGUGUUGGAAGUCCCGGUUGUUUAGCGUAGGAGGUCUGCAGGCAAAUCCGCAGACGCAUCUCCAAGGCAAAGACACGUGCCGCCACGGCGGCGAAGUGAUCGGAAGUGCUUCCAAGAAAAGCCUCUAAGCACCAGUCUGACGCGGACCGUACCGCAAACCGACACUGGUGGGCGAGCUGAAUAUGCUCAGGCGCUUGAGAGAACUCGGGAGAAGGAACUCGGCAAAUUGACACCGUAACUUCGGAAGAAGGUGUGCCGUAGUAGCGUGAGAGGAGAGACUCCUCGAGCGUGAAUCGGUCUCAGAGAAUAGGUGGCUGCGACUGUUUAUUAAAAACACAGCACUCUGCAAAGUCGAAAGACGACGUAUAGGGUGUGAUGCCUGCCCGGUGCUGGAAGAUUAAUUGAUGGGGUGAGAGCCCUUGAUCGAAGUCCCAGUAAACGGCGGCCGUAACUAUAACGGUCCUAAGGUAGCGAAAUUCCUUGUC
RNAcentral lists this ribosomal RNA (1927 nucleotides) under human gut metagenome. RNAcentral's name for it is "bacterial LSU rRNA". It matches the Rfam family "Bacterial large subunit ribosomal RNA", at positions 3 to 1973 of the family's 2925-position model. The record is from RNAcentral.